Molecule: long non-coding RNA, 1035 nt
Filed under: Chrysemys picta bellii (western painted turtle)
Lineage: Eukaryota; Metazoa; Chordata; Testudines; Emydidae
Description: lncRNA (ENSCPBG00000013124.1)
Source: RNAcentral
GGCAAGGUGUAACAAGACUCGUCACUGUUCAUUAAACGUGCAAUCUGGGCUUUACAACAAAAUAUUAAUAAUUAACACAACCAAUCAGUCAUUUAUGUCUUUGCAAAGGCUUACGGCCAGCGGCCAACCUGACGCCAGCCCCCGCAGCAGGAAAAUGGGGAACUCCGCAAGGAUCUUAGAAGCAGAGCAGGAAAGGGGCCGAGUACAUAAAGAAAGGUGAGGCGUGAUCCGUGGGAGGAGGCUCGCCCGCACAAUGCCAAGUCAGAACUAGGAGUCGGUAAUCGGGCCUGCAGUGGGUAUGGCGCCGAACGCUGGGGACGGAGGAAGCGACUGGGGUAGAUUGUGCAGAGAGUGGGGAUAAACCCAUUCAACUGGACCCUGGGAGUAACAAGGCCGAACCGUGCUCGGAACGAACGAAUUCGGGGAAGGAUGAAGCUGGCACCGAUUCUAGAACCGUGGAGGAGAUCCAGCUUGGAUGGUUUGGCCAGGGGGGAAGAAGAUUGGAAGAACAGCCAGGAAACGGGGGAUUUACGUUAGCUGUGGCGGGUAAAAGCCGGGUUAGAAGAGACCCAACGCUAGCUGGGGUUUGGUGAACAACAGCGUCUCAGGAACUGCUCCAAGACAGAUGGGAAUGGAGACCAGCUAGUCGCAGAGACAGGCUGAAGGCGAGGAGAAGAAUCAAGCGUUUAUCAUCUAAUAGAAAGUACGAUGGGUGGUUAAUACAGAGACCCUCUCCUUCACUCUCCAACAGCCCGGCCUGGCCGAUGGAAUAUUUGCUGCUUCCCUCCGGAGACCUGGUCCCUGAAUUUUCUCUCAUCCAGAGAGGCCGGAAAAGAAAACUGGGGCAGACAGCAAAAGAGGGAGAGAAACCAGCCCACUGGCCGGAGAUGGGAGGUAUUACCCUCAUUUCUCAGAAUUAAAGGGUUAAGGAAGAUGGGACAGACGUAUGUAGAUGGGCAGCUUUCUCCGCGGGGAUCCCACUCUAAAGGGCGCAGGACCGGCGGGCCAUCAAGAGCCCUGGCUCUGGUUGGUUUG